UUGCACUGAAAAACAAAAAUAAUUUUCUCUGUAGUAGUGGAGUAACUCUGUGUUUUCUAUCUCACUUUAAAAAGCAUUUAAACAUCUGUACCUGAACUAUAAUCACUAUUUUAACUGAUAUUUGGAAUCUGGAGAACUCACUGAAGUUGAUGAUUUACUUUAGUAAGCAAAAUAUAGGCAAGUGAUCUUUGAUGGGAAUCUACCAUAACUAUCAAAACAAACUGCUCACUAAAUAAAUCAGUAACUGGCUGGCCAGCAGACUAAUCCACGCACAAGCUCUCCGGGAGACUAACAGGGAGCAAAACUAAAGUACAGAAACUACUUAAAGGCUACUAAUCCUGUUACAUUCACAUCCCAAAAUUCUAGGCACAGUUUGAAUACUCCUCCUUUAAGCAAAACUGUACAGCCUUGUUAAUUUUAGUAAAGUUCCUGAUGUAGAAUCCUCCACAAAACCCUCUCGUUUCUCUAGCCUGUCCUACACAAAACACCAAAGAGCUGCUUUUGGUGCAUAUCCAUAAGCCGACAAAAAUUACUAAGGAGACAGAAGGAAUACAACAAUGUUUAUUUUCUCCUUGAGGCAUGAACAUGCCAAGUUAAGGGAAGUCACGUAGGCAUGUCCACAUAUUACCUCACCCUACUUGUGUCUCUAACAUCUUGGGACCAACACAGUUACAACACCACUCCAUGCAUAUAAGUCAUUAGUGGCCUCAAAGAAAAACUGCACUCAACUAGGCUAAGCUAAAUGAAAAGGAAAAAUACUCAUACUUUUUAUUGAUAUAGAUAUAUAUUUUACUGUUUUUAAAUUUAAAUAUUUUUGGCUUCUUGAACCUGAGACAGGAUUGAAGAACCUCAAAACCAAGGCAGUAUCUCUCCAUUUUAUGAACAUGCUACUGGAACCGUAAGAUAUCCAUAGGAGACAUCUCAAAUAAACAAAGCCUAUUAGAAACAUUAUCUCCAACCUCUCAGUUUUACUCUUAGAACCUUCUAAGCAAAAUGUUUAAGCACAACCAUCACUUAUGAAAGAUUACUAGCUGCCUUAAUCUUAAACAAUAGACCAGCUAUAAAAGGAUCCCUAAUAUACGAUCAUAGCAACAGGCCAAACACUAACCAAGCGUCCAUCCACCAAUGAGUGAUGCACAUAACUCCCUAAUAGGCCAGUGGGAACACCAUAUGUGAAAAAACCCACAACUUUUUAAGUCAGUCAUGGUUUCUUCUCAGCUUGAGAAGGCAAGCAGCUUGUAAGAGAGACCAUAAUUUGAUAUGCUUUACAGAGCAGAAUGGAAGCAAGUUCUAUUGUGAUUGUGUCCAACUACAAAAGACCAACCCACUUUUUUCCUGCAUACAACACAAUCAAGAAUUAAGAGCAACAAUGAAAACAAUUCAGUGAUGGCUUCCCAAAUCUGCAGAGACCCCAUCCUCGUGCCUCUGUUAAUAUUCAGUUUCCCCAAACUGCAGCAAUAUAAAGACUGACCAGAAUCUUGUUUGAUUUCUCCACAGCUAUUCAUUACACCCAUGAACAUAGAAAUUAUAACAAGAAUUGCCUUGUUUAGUGCUCUUUCUGCUUGGAAAAACUAUCAGUGGUAGCAGUCAGACUCUCUCAUUGAGCUAUUCACUCUGGAAAAAGACAAAAAACAGAGUCCAGGCCGGGGAGGAAAGGAGGACAAAGUGGUACAAAGGGAGAACGCCUCCCUCUCACAGAGGUCAGGAGACGAGAGGUGGGGUAAAGUAGAAGACACUCUGUUCCCCAGAAAUUCCAGCUACUGGGAAUUGAGCAGAGGGGCGGUUCUGACACAGAGUCAAAGCAGCCAGGAGCCUUUGGGGUGGGAGGUGGAGUAAGAAUACUCCCUUUUUCCAGCACCCAGAGAGGACUGCAGGGUUGAGGUAAACUGGACUCAGCAGGAGUGUUGCAGGAGACAGGACGUUCUUCAGGACCUUCUGCAUGACAAUAUCCUACAGUUCAGCCAGUCACAAUCCUUCUCAAGGUCUAAGAUGCUUGUCCCUGAGGGAUGUGGCUUGAUUCCUUCCCAGGCAUUUCUUGAAAUAGCUGAACUGCUUUGCUACUCUGAAAAACGCUACACAAAAAUUUAGCUCUAAGAGCUGGAUAUAGCAGAAAUUACUUUGGGGAUAACAAGUAAGUGGAAGAGUCCACUUCCUUUGUACACCAUUGGCAUGCAAACUUGAUUAAAGCCAGUCUCCAUUACAGAAGUUUUUUUAAUUAAAAAUAGCAAUAAUUCAAAGGAGGCACUCAGAUAAAAUGCUCCAAAAAAGAGGUUUUUCAACUGAAAAACCCCCAUCGAAGCUGUCAUGGUGCAGCACUACUAAAGUGGCAUGUGUAGUGACCAGCAAACGCUCUUACACUGGUUGCAGUUAGAUUAGUUGCAGUUAGACAAGAACUGACUUUUGGAUACACUCAGGGAUCACACAUCGUCUGUUCUGCGGUGGCAGCUCAUGCCACCUUAACAGGAGCAAUGUUUUAGAACUCUAGCAAUGGAAAUUCUCAUCUGGUCACGUCUUUGCAGCACAGACCCAAAAAUAGUAUGAUAGGACUCUUUCACAGGAAAAGUUCAUGUCCUUGAGUAAUUUUUGAAGUGAUGUUUUUCAGGUCUGUGCAGUCUCACUAAGAUUUCUUUUGUGGAGGAAAGAUGAAACAGACUUUGGAAAGAGACACCAUACUCAAAAGGGAGAAAGUAUGCACACACAAUGCAAGCAUUAGGCAUAAAACAAAAUCCAGAAAGACUGCAUAACGAAGAGUAAGUUGCAAAGCCACUACGAUACUUUGGAAAAUGUGAAAAGAUUUGGGGGUCAAUUACUUUGCAUAAAAUUGUUCUAUAUACACAGAGAUGUUCUGAUAUUCUCAUAGGUAAAUCACUACAUAAAUAAAGUUGUCUUUAAAAUGACUGACGAACAGGCCUUAAUAUCGUAGGUAAACAGUCCUGAUACAGAAAAAUAGAAAACAUUGUGAUAAGAAUUCUAUCAAAGUGGUGUUUGUAAGAGCUAGGUAACCCUGGCAAAGAGGACAUACAUCACUUAUCUCCUAGUCCAUUCUCUUCUCUACUCUCUCUAAAAU
Molecule: long non-coding RNA, 3067 nt
Organism: Dermochelys coriacea (leatherback sea turtle)
Lineage: Eukaryota; Metazoa; Chordata; Testudines; Dermochelyidae
Exons: 2
Source: RefSeq, a predicted model, not a curated record